CAGUCGCCGCGGGAAUACGAAGGGUGCAAGCGUUAAUCGGAAUUACUGGGCGUAAAGCGUGCGUAGGCAGUUUGUUAAGUCUGCUGUGAAAUCCCCGGGCUCAACCUGGGAAUGGCAGUGGAUACUGGCAAGCUAGAGUGUGUCAGAGGAUGGUAGAAUUCCCGGUGUAGCGGUGAAAUGCGUAGAGAUCGGGAGGAACAUCAGUGGCGAAGGCGGCCAUCUGGGACAACACUGACGCUGAGGCACGAAAGCGUGGGGAGCAAACAGGAUUAGAUACCCGAGUAGUCCCUGUCUCUUAUAC
RNAcentral lists this ribosomal RNA (301 nucleotides) under uncultured bacterium. Its description in RNAcentral is "partial 16S ribosomal RNA". It matches the Rfam family "Bacterial small subunit ribosomal RNA", at positions 509 to 807 of the family's 1533-position model. The record is from RNAcentral.